Suncus etruscus (white-toothed pygmy shrew) is the source of this 65-nucleotide small nucleolar RNA. RefSeq annotates it as small nucleolar RNA SNORD109A. The transcript has a single exon. The record is from RefSeq and is a predicted model, not a curated record. Lineage: Eukaryota; Metazoa; Chordata; Mammalia; Eulipotyphla; Soricidae.
GGAUUGCUGAGAAAUACUGUCUGAGGAUGGAUGGGAGACUCAUUUCAAAUGUCGUUCUGAGGUCC